RNAcentral lists this long non-coding RNA (778 nucleotides) under Ananas comosus (pineapple). Its description in RNAcentral is "long non-coding RNA (ACOM_LNC029962)". The record is from RNAcentral. Lineage: Eukaryota; Viridiplantae; Streptophyta; Magnoliopsida; Poales; Bromeliaceae.
UUAUUAUUAUUAUUAUUAUUAUUAUUAUUAUUAUUAUUGUGGUUAAAAUAUAUAUAAAAAAAUUAUAAAUACUUGUUUUUUCUUUUGAUUUUCAAAAACCUUUAUUUUGCCUUUUUUAAAUUUCAGAAACAUUUCAAAAGGUCUGGCUUUAAUGAAAAUGACAAAAUGAUCAAAUUAUUCUUACUUCUUUUAUAAGAAAAAAUAAAAUUUUAAUAUAUUUCUGUUAUUUUAAAAGAUAUUUUCGAUCUAAAUUAUAAGAAAUUGACAGAAUAAUAAUAAAACUCUGACGGAGGAGGGCUAUAUGCAUGCAAUAACUUAAAAUGUUGAGCAUAUAAAAUGUAGAUUUUUGAAAAAUUAAAGAGAAAAAGUGAAAAAUAUAUAUAUAUAUAUAUAAACGGACUUUAUGUAAUUUAGUCUAUUAUUAUUACUAUUUGUUUCCAAAUUUGAUCGCUUGGGCAAUCAUAAAUUACAAUUUACUUUUUAAUAUCGAAAACAAACUUAUGUGAAAAUAAGGCCAAUUUUUUAUUUGACACUUUUCAAUUUCCAUCUAUAAGUAAAUAAUAAUAAUAAUAAUAAUAAUAAUAAUAAGUAACUGGAGUGAAAAAAAUUAUUAUUUAUCUAUUGAUCAUCGGUUAUCACACUAUGUAACAAUAAUAAUUAAACUUCACUAGUUAAAAAAUUAUACAUAUCUGUGUAUUUUACUAUUCUCCUGUAAAAGAGAUUUCUCUAAAUCCCUGUAUAAUCAACAUCAAACAUUAGUAUCAAAUCUAACAAUUAA